ACGGGGCGCACCAGGCGCGAAACCUUUACAAUGCACGAAAGUGUGAUAAGGGAAACCCUAGUGCUAUACCUUUGGUAUGGCUUUUCUCAUAUGUAAAAAGUAUGGGGAAUAAGUGGUGGGCAAGACGGGUGCCAGCCGCCGCGGUAACACCUGCGCCACAAGUGGCAACCAUGAUUAUUGGGCCUAAAGCGUUCGUAGCCUGUCAAGUAAAUUCUUUGUGAAAUUGUGUAGCUAAACUAUACAGCGUGCAGGGAAGACCGCUUGACUAGGGACCGGGAGAUGUUAGAGGUAUUUUUGGGGGAACGGUAAAAUGUUAUAAUCCCAAAAAGACCACCUGUUGCGAAGGCGUCUAACAAGAACGGAUCUGACGGUGAGGGACGAAGGCCAGGGGAGCAAAUCGGAUUAGAUACCCGAGUAGUCCUGGCAGUAAACGCUGCGAGCUAGGUGUUGCAUAAUCUAUGUGGUUGUGCAGUAUCGAAGCGAAGGUGAUAAGCUCGCCGCCUGGGAAGUACGGUCGCAAGGCUGAAACUUAAAGGAAUUGGCGGGGGAGCACAGGAAUUGGCGGGGGAGCACAGGAAUUGGCGGGGGAGCAC
Molecule: ribosomal RNA, 593 nt
Filed under: uncultured archaeon
Lineage: Archaea
Description: bacterial SSU rRNA
Rfam family: Archaeal small subunit ribosomal RNA
Source: RNAcentral